Molecule: long non-coding RNA, 7990 nt
Filed under: Homo sapiens (human)
Lineage: Eukaryota; Metazoa; Chordata; Mammalia; Primates; Hominidae
Description: HSALNT0295749
Source: RNAcentral
GGAGAACAGGCCGGAAGGCGCCCAACGGGCCGCAGGCUCCGCGGCCCCCACCUUAUAGCCAGCUUUUUCCAAGAGCCACAUGCGGUGGGUGGGGUAAUGGAAUUCCGAAUUCCGCAGGGCCGAGAGGGUCCAAAUCCCGUCUCAGAUGGGAGUGCUCGGCGGAGCGGGGCUGGGCGAGGAGCGCAGAGGAGUCAGAGGUGAGUGAUGCUGGCGUACACCGGGCGGUCAGCCACCGCGCCCCGGUCUCCGGACCCACUGGGAGCGCGGACCCCUAUUUGAGCAGAAAAAGAAAGGGCGGCGCAGUCUGGGGGGCUGGGGAGAAAUGGAGGGAGCAAAGGGCCAGUCAGUCACAUUUUCAUAUACGGGCCUCCGUCACCAAGUACACAGAUUCUCCCACUGGUACUAAAGAUGCCCCAUUCACCUUACAGUUAGAGGGCCCAUAUAGUAUCCACCAGAACCCUAGGGUACUAUUAGGACAAAUAGGAUAAUAACCGCAUUAUAGCAAAAGGACUCAGAUCCCAACCCCCCUGGGACACUGCGCCCUAGGCGGGCUCACGCCCUCCUCCCCCGCCCAUUUCGAAGACUUGGGUUUUCCUCUGGGAUCCAGUCUGGCGCCCCUUGGGACUUCCUCCCUUUGCCAGGCUGCCCCGGCUCAAGCUUCUCUGGCCUGAGCCAUCCCUCAGUCCUAGCCCCACCUGCCUCCUCUGGCUCCUCCUUCCCCUCCUCGAGUCGCUCCAAGCCAGAAGAGGACUCACUUCUGCUCCUGGCAGCCAGGGGACACACCUGGCUGCUGACCUCAGGACACCCUGGGCUGGUCCAAGGAGACGCACCUCCCGGGGACACAGAAUCCCACCCCCAGUAGCCCUGACCGUCCAGCUCCCGCGCCUCCCAGCCCUACCGCAUCCCGCGUCUGCAGGGCGGGGCCGGGCCGUUGGGUCGCCCCUCCUACUCUCCACUCCUUUUCUCCCUCGGAAACCACCGAGCACAAAGGCAGCAUUGAUUCUCCGCCACCCUCAGAGCGGUCUCCGGAAGGCUCCGCCACCACGCGCUCGCCUCACCCCUGCGCGGAGCCACCAAGAGCACCGUGUUCCGACCCUCUGCCCUGGGAUCCGAGCUAGCGACCCUCUCCGUCGCGCGCCCGGAGUGCUGGCCUCACCUGUGGGUCGCUUUUGGGUUCUGGCCUCAGGCCCUGAAACUUUCAGAGCCAGAGGGGAGCAGCUUUCUCUGCAGCUUGCUCCCCCAGCGCAGUCCUUAUGGGAGGAGCUGGCAGGGGCCUCCGCUGCCUACGUCCUACCUCUUUUCCUGGAUAAACACAGCUCUGUCUGCGCGGCCAUCAGCCCGGUCUUCUGACUUCCUCCAGCUGAAGCCAGGCUAGUCAAGUGAAGCAAUGGGAGUGGAGAUGGAACAAAGAAAUCUGCAAUUGGUUGUGAUCAAUUAGUUGUAAACACUACUGCACUUGGACCAACCUCUUCCUUUUCCUGACUGCUUAGGAAGGAUGGAAUGUAUUUCCUUCCUUCUGGGAGUGUUUGAAUGAAGAUUAGACUCUCCUUGACCAUGAAUGAAGAGCAACCAGUUUUUUAGUAUACAGUGAUUUAGACUCUGGGUCUAGAGUGUAGAUAUCAUGGGCACUGUGAAAGCACAGAAGGAGAAAAGGUUUUUAUUUUGGUGGGGCUUUGUGUCUGAAUUCUGGCCAAUGGAACCACGUGGAGGCCUGGCCCAGAACAUCUCCCUGUGGAUUCUCUCAUCUGGCAACUGGAUGCCUACACGAAGGGUGAUUUUGGAGUCAUGUGUUGGAGAUCACAAAGCUUUUGUCAGCCAGGUUCCUGAAUGACUGCUAGACACCAUGGGCUGAACUUUAUGAGCUCCAGCACCACCUCCAGCCUUCAGUGACUGUCUGGAGCAGGCAUCCGGAUGGAAGAGAAGGGGGACAACCAUGAACUUGGUGACCCACGGUCAGCCUGAUUUCCCUUGUGGACACAUUUAUGCCCAGUGUGCAUUCCUCCUGAGGUCUGUUCCAAGUCUGGAGGCAGCAGAGUAGAGUGGAGAGAACAGUGGACUUGGAAUCUCACCUCCCAGAUUAGAGUCCUGGAUCUGACUUUGAUUGCUGGUGCUGCCUCGGGCAAGUUACUUUAGCUGUGUGCAUCUCCAUUUCCCCAUGGAUAGAACAUGGGUUUUGGGUAGAAGUGUCUGAUAGCUGUACUGUGCUUUACGGUUCAUGAGCACGCACACAUAGGCCCAUAAUAUCAUAUCUCUGGUCACCCUGGCAGGUAGAUAUUAUUGCCCCAGGUUUCAGGUAAGAAGACUAAAGACCAGGGGUCAAUUGCUUGCUCAGAGUCCCACAGCCAGCAGCAGCCAGGCAGGACACCAAGUCAGAGUCUAGAUUCCGGAUCUUGCCCUCUUCCAAGUGUACCACAUUCUUCUCAAAGUGGCCUCUCAGGUCUUUUGUCCAGAAAAUUUUGAGACUUUGAUGAGAAGCCCAUAUCUGCACACUGGGGAUUAGGCCAGAUAACCCUGUGUGUCCUUCCAGGCCUGGUAUUGUGAGGCUGAAGCCUAGUGCCCCACACUCCCUUCCUCACCCCUUAGAGAAAGAUAGAGACUCCAGGGCCAGCCUGGUGGGUGCUGAACCUGCCCUGCUGAGCCAAGCCCAGGAGGCAGCCAAGGUCCUACCAGUGACCUUACCCUGGGGGCCCCUCCAGGUAGGAGCCUGGUUGGAAAAGACAGACCGACUUCUUCUGGGUUGGCUGGAAAAAGAUGACAUACUCAAAGCCUUGUCCUUCCACUUGGAUGCACCUGGUGAAGAUGCGACAGUCACCUUUGUCUGGGGAGAGAUAGGCAGUGUUGCAGCCGGAGAAGGGAGGGUAUGGUCAGGAUGCAGCACCAUUUGGUUGAGUCUUGCCUCUGGUACAAGAUUAAGGAGAGAAAACCAGAGGACACCAGGUCCACCCCCAGGGAGCCUUCCCUCUGGGAGCAGAGGCACAGUUGCUGUCCUCACAGAGCCUUUCUGUCUAGGGCAGAAACAUGCAGGAAGUGCCCUGGCUGAGAAUGGAGAUAGGAUCAGGGCCAGGGCAAGACUUUAAGAGACCAUAAGCAUUGAAAAUUGAAAAUGUAAUUACUCAUGUAACUCACAUAUAAUUCAAAAGAAUAAUAGUAAACAGUAAAAUAAGAGCAGAAAAGUCCAUCAAAGUUCUGAUUUUUUUUUUCCAAGACAGCUACCACUACUACAUCCUUUUUUGGAAGUAUCAAAUUCUUUGAAAAAAAAUUAUGUUGGUAUUCCUGCUUUGUUUGUGCCAUAAACCCAAGGGUAGUCUGUCCCCUGUACCACUCCUUCAUCACUAGGCAGGAAGACAACAUAUAUGAGUGAGAGAGACAGGGAGAUACACAUGCGUGCACACACGAGUGCACACACACACACAAGAAGGUGGAAGCUCUAUCAUUAGGAUCCAUUAGGAUCAUUAGGUGUUUCAGGAGUGCUGCUCCAGACCCCGCACAGCAGGGAUGAUGUGCAGGGCCUCAGUGGAAGGGGUGUGGGGUCCAAGGGCUUUCAUGGGGUUGGGGCGGAAGGCUUGGGAUGAGGCUUGAUAGUUAGGGAGGGGCAGUCAGUGAGAAGUCGGGGCAGGAGCUGGGCUGGCUGUCCUCCAGUGGGGACAUGCUUGGCUGGGAGCGAAGGUGGGCCCACCAGGGUGUGCUGCUUCAGAUGGGAGGAGGGGAGCUGGAGACCUGAGAGGACACCCGCCGCCUGUUGCCUGGGGCUGCAGCAUCAGGGGUGGAGUUGGACAGCAGGAAGAACUCGCUGAGAACUGGAAGGCGGUCUGUGAAGUUGCUUCUCAGUCUUAGAACACAGGGAAGGGCGGCUGGGGUGUGUGUACUCAUGGUCCUGUCCUUACCUGAGGAAACUGCCAGUCCAGAUGGGAGCUUGAGUCCCCGGAUGUGGUCUCUGUUGGACUUGAAGGAGGGCAGCUUGAUCCAGCCGCUAGACUUAGUCUUCUCCAGAAAUUCUUGGUACAGGCUCAGCAUGUCCGAACACCAGCUGGCAUUGGGAAGAGCAUAAUCCUUCAAGUCUGUCUUCUCUGGCAAGAAUCUUGAGAACUGGGCAGGAAAAAUCAGAAUGACUAGACAGCAUCCUGGAGGGGGGCUGCUGCCUGGGCUCGGGACCUCUAAACAGCUGUUCCUGGGUGCUGGGGCUUCUCAAUCCCUUCUGCCAGAGUAUCGAUCCAAGGGAAAGGGCCCAUAUUCCUUGCAGGGGGGCUGCGGACCCCUAUGGGUGACGGGGCAUAAGGAUGCUAAAGAGCAAGGGAAGGGCGGGCAGGGAGUGGGGCCAGAGAUGAUGGGCAUGCUGCUCGAUGUGGUGCCUUACCCUUGUUCUGCUUAAAACAUGUGAGCAGUUCUUUAAAGUUGACAACUGCUCAUAUUAGCCUCACUGUACAGAUGGGGAAACUGAGGGAAUACGGCCAAGGUUGCCAAGCAUGUGACUGUGAGAGCUGGUGGUCGCACUAGAUGCUGUCUCCUCUGCAGGGCAGGGUCACAGUUGUUGAGGACCAUUCUAGCAACCCCCACCUCAGGGGCUACUCCAGCUCUGCCCACUGCUGUGGGCCUGCCUGGGCAGGGUGGCUCCUUUGAAACACAUUUGGGCCCCCACAGAGGUGUGGUGCCAUGGCUGGGGCACAGACUAUGUGCCCAUCUGUGUGACGUAAGGAAGUCCUCUGUAGCGUCACCUGCUCAUACACCAGUCACAACUGUAGACAGCAUGUGAGCUGCUUGCCAAUGCCACAGAUGGGGUCCUCUGUCUGGGGAUACCCCAGCUUUGCUGCAGUAGUCUGAGUCCCACAGGAGGAAAGUCAUUUGUUGGUGGCCACACAAGACACAGAGCCAGAUGCAGGUCUCCUGGUAGUUUUAGUUUUGAAUGGGGGCAACUUGGUAUCCCAGAGCACUUUCUCUUUGCCAAAUCAAAUAGCUCCUCCGAACACUGCCCACCUGCCCUGGCCAUGGGCUGGGAAGAGGAGAUUUGGGGUGCUCCUUAAGCCCUAGGCUCCUGGGAAAACACUGCCCAUCUGGCUGAGCUGGGAACUCACCAUGGAGUCUGUGGAGGAUCCAAAUGCUGAGGCAGGGUUGAGUCUGGGCAGGAUACGGGGGGCCUCAAGAAGGCCUCUGUGGUGGCCAAGUCUUGCUGCCACCUGGAAGCAUCUCCUUAUCAUGGCCAAGUGCAAGGAUCCAGCCCUGCUUGGAUGGAGGGUCUUGGCUGACUCCCAAGGAGUGCUUUCAGCUGCACUUGGGGCCGCUUCUCUCCCUUCUGUUGCAGGCUUUCUUUCAGAGAGCUAGGCGAGGCUGGGCUGGUGUGCUGCAACACCCACAGAUGCUCGGCGCCUUUAGCUGGUCUAGGAGCCCCACCCAGUGCUUGGGGAGGGACAGAUGCUGCUUGGGCAUGAAAAGGCAGCAGGACUGGCUUGAGUUGCAAAAGGAGUAAACAAGUACAUAAACAAAUAGUAUGGGGUAUAUAGAGCCUUGGAGAGCUGCCUGGGGGUUCUGAGGGAGAAUCCAAGAAUAUUUCCAGAAGGAUAAGGGAAGCCUGUCCCUUGAUUGGAGGGUGCUGGUGGAGUGUUCUUGGUAUGUGCUCUGCAGUGUAUACCGGACUCUGAAAACUCUGGUAUGAUUUUGUGACUCAGAAAACCAACUCACAGGCCGGGUGCGGUGGCUCACGCCUGUAAUCCCAGCACUUUGGGAGGCCGAGGCGGCGGAUUACGAGGUUAGGAGAUCGAGACCAUCCUGGCUAACACGGUGAAACCCCGUCUCUACUAAAAAAAAUACAAAAAAUUAGCCGGGCGUGGUGGCGGGUGCCGGUAGUCCCAGCUACGCAGGGGGCUGAGGCAGGAGAAUGGCGUGAACCUGGGAGGUGGAGCUUGCAGUGAGCUGAGAUCUAGCCACCGCACUCCAGCCUGGGCGACUGAGCGAGACUCCGUCUCAAAAAAAUAAAAAUAAAAAAAUAAAAAAAAAGAAAACCAACUCACAGCCUUAGACACCUCUUUUUUUUUUUUUUUUUUUUUUUUGGUGAGACGGAGUUUCAAUCUUGUCGCCCAGGCUGGUGUGCAAUGGCGUGAUCUCGGCUCACUGCAACCUCCGCCUCCUGGGUUCAAGUGAUUCUCCUGCCUCAGCCUCCUGAGUAGCUGGGAUUACAGACACACACCACCACACCCAGCUAAAUUUUGUAUAUUUUUUUUAGUAGAGAUGGGGUUUUGCCAUGUUAGCCAGGCUGGUCUUGAACUCCUGACCUCAGGUGACCUCCCAAAGUGCUGGGAUUACAGGCGUGAGCCACCGCACCCGGCCAACACCUCUUCUUAUAUCCCGGACAAGGGUUAGCACAGGAGAGUUUCACCUGCUGGUCUCUGGCUGGGGAUAGGAGUUGGAGGUGGGGGAGGGCUUGACAGGGAGGGCAGAAAAUAAUUUGGGAGGAAACAGCUUGGCAGGGAUACUCUCAUGUUUUGGGAACCCCGUGCCCAGGGAGUGGCUCAUGUCAGCAGGCAGUGCUGGGAGUGAGGUGGGCGCGGCAGUGAGGCUUUGUUGAGUGGGAAGGGACACUCAGCCAACAUCUGCAAGGCAGUGGGAUUUGGUGGUGGUGUGUCUUCUAUUGAAUUUAAACUGCCAAUUUUCAAUUAAAAGUCUCAGUUUUAAAUUGACUAAAAUAAAAGCAUGUUCUAAAGAUCAGUCCUCGCGCAGUGGCUCAAGGCUGUAAUCUCAGCAUUUUGGGAGGCCGAGUGAGACCUUGUCUUAAAAAAAAAAAAAUCAGAACUGUGCAAAGGUGGAAUCAUAACAGUGAUGAUGACGAUAAUAAUAGUUGUGAUGAUUAUGACAUUUUGGCAGGUUCCAAAAGAUGAAACUGAUUUAAUGCGGAAAUUUAAAAGAUUUGGUUCACCCUCUGUAUUUGGUUGCCCUAGAAGAAGACUAGAAUAUAAAUAUUUCCCCUCACCUCCUGCAAAGGUUUGAAUUAAACUUCCUCAAGGACUGGGGGAACCAUUUUUUUUUGUUGUUGUUAUUUUGUCAGAGUCUCACUCUUAUUGCCCAGGAGUGCAGUGGCACCAUCUCGGCUCACUGCAACCUCUGCCUCCCAGGCUCAAGCAAUUCUCCUGCCUCAGCCUCCCAAGUAGCUGGGAUUACAGGCGCUUGCUACUACGCCCGGCUAGUUUUUAUAUUUUUAGUAGAGACGGGGUUUCAUCAUGUUGGCCAGGCUGGUCUCAAACUCCUGGCCUUGGCUGAUCUGCCUGCCUCAGCGUCCCAAAGUGCUGGGAUUACAGGCAUGAGGCACCACGCCCAGCUGGAAGUUUUUUUGGUUGAUUCAGCCUCUGGGUCUAAGCAAAGAUAUUUGAGUUGGUUGCCAUCCCCAGAUAAGUGAGAAUAUCUGGCAGCACUCAUUUUCAGCCCUGGGCCGCAGCCGUUGCUGUGAGGCAGAAAUUAAAAAAAGAUAGUAAGUACUACAUUCAUUCACUCCAAGAAAAGUAACAGACAAGGCUAUAAGAAGGUCAUAGUGACCUAGUCUGAGAAGUAAAAGCCAAGGCCCAGAAUGUGGCAAGGCAAAGGUUAAAAAGAAAGGAAGAGCAAGUUUUUCUCUGCCUAGCAAGCUCACUUCAAAGACAAUUAUAAGAUAAUGCUCUUCGAGAAGUCGAAACCAAAGGAAUAGGCUCCAGACAUCCCCCGUCUGGAGCAAGGGUGAAGGAAAAAAAAAAAAGGACAAAUGUCUGUCUGUAUUUAGCCAGUUCUUGUUUUUUCUUUCCACGCAGCUACAAGGCCACCAGCUAUGCAAAGCCACAAGUUAUGCCAAGUCAUCAGUUAUGCUAUAGAUUAUGUGACCUGUCAUUAUAUGAUUAACUGCCUGUUUUGCUUCUGUAAGCCUGCUUAUAAAAAUCCUGCUCAGUCUUUGUUCAAUGCUCAGCUUUUUGGAUGUGAAUCCACUGAGCCAAUGCCUACCUUAAAAUAAACAUCGUCCUGUUUUUCCAUAUCUGUC